CAGCAGCCGCGGGAAUACGGAGGGGGCUAGCGUUGUUCGGAAUUACUGGGCGUAAAGCGCACGUAGGCGGCUUUGUAAGUUAGAGGUGAAAGCCCGGAGCUCAACUCCGGAAUUGCCUUUAAGACUGCAGAGCUAGCAGGUGAGAGAGGUGAGUGGAAUUCCGAGUGUAGAGGUGAAAUUCGUAGAUAUUCGGAAGAACACCAGUGGCGAAGGCGACUGACUGGACAAGUAUUGACGCUGAGGUGCGAAAGCGUGGGGAGCAAACAGGAUUAGAUACCCGGGUAGUCCCUGUCUCUUAUAC
This 301-nucleotide ribosomal RNA is filed under the name uncultured bacterium. RNAcentral's name for it is "partial 16S ribosomal RNA". It matches the Rfam family "Bacterial small subunit ribosomal RNA", at positions 509 to 807 of the family's 1533-position model. The record is from RNAcentral.